GAUGAAGAACGUAGCGAAAUGCGAUAAGUAAUGUGAAUUGCAGAAUUCAGUGAAUCAUCGAAUCUUUGAACGCACAUUGCGCCCGCCAGUAUUCUGGCGGGCAUGCCUGUUCGAGCGUCAUUUCAACCCUCAAGCCCAGCUUGGUGUUGGGGAUCGGCACAGGCGCCCUCGGGCGCCCGCCGUCCCCUAAAUCUAGUGGCGGUCCCGCUGCAGCCUCCUCUGCGUAGUAGUUUUCUCCUCGCAAGGGCAGCUCGGUGGCGACCUCGCCGUAAAACCCCCAACUUCUGAAAGGUUAACCUCGAAUCAGGUAGGAAUACCCGCUGAACUUAAGCAUAUCAAUAAGCGGAGGA
This 350-nucleotide unclassified non-coding RNA is filed under the name soil metagenome. RNAcentral's name for it is "partial contains 5.8S ribosomal RNA, internal transcribed spacer 2, and large subunit ribosomal RNA". The stretch from base 1 to 120 matches the Rfam family "5.8S ribosomal RNA", at positions 35 to 154 of the family's 154-position model. The record is from RNAcentral.